Molecule: ribosomal RNA, 341 nt
Filed under: Ixodes sp. II MO-2013
Lineage: Eukaryota; Metazoa; Arthropoda; Arachnida; Ixodida; Ixodidae
Description: partial 12S ribosomal RNA
Source: RNAcentral
AUUAUUUUAAGCUUUAUAUUGUUAGUAAGUAGAAGUUAUGAAAUCAUAAGAUUUUGGCGGUAUUUUAAGCUUUUUAGAGGAAUUUGCUCUUUAAUGGAUACAACGCCUAGAUCUUACUUAAUUUUGUUAAAUCAGUUUGUAUACCACUAUAGUAAUUAUAUUAAAUGAUUAUAUUUAUGUUUUAUUUUUAUGUAAAUUAUAUUAAGUCAAGGUGCAACUAAUAAUUAUGAAUGAAGUGAAUUACAUUAAUUAUUAUUAUAUUUAUACAUGAAAAGAAUAGAAGGAUUUAAUAGUAAAAUGUUAAUAUUAUGAAUAUUUGAAUAAAGCUCUAAAAUAUGCAC